Cyprinodon tularosa is the source of this 1225-nucleotide long non-coding RNA. RefSeq lists it as uncharacterized. NCBI's taxonomy places the organism in Eukaryota, Metazoa, Chordata, Actinopteri, Cyprinodontiformes, Cyprinodontidae. The transcript has 3 exons. The record is from RefSeq and is a predicted model, not a curated record.
AACAGGACUACACUGGAAAACAGGCCAAGCUCCAACAUCUAGAAACAAAGGUGCUGAUGGCAGCAGCACAGCUGAUAUUUCUCUCCAGGAUGGAGUCACAGCCAAACAGGAACAGAUGAUUUUCCCCAGUGGGAGUUGUUAGCAUUAGAUCAUGAGUGGGUAACAGUAGUGAAGCUGCAGAGAGGUGAGGUAAACUGUGACUCUGCAUCCUGGUCUGUCUGGGUUUUAGGACUGAUAAAUUGAUUCCCAGUGGGACGGAUGAUGGAGGAUGACUCAGCAGCUUUCUGGACGCCUCUCUGUUUGCAGGCGGCGUCUACGGGCUGUCCUUCAGAACCCGGAUCGAUGAGGAAAACUGUGUCGCUCUGACACCAAACGGUAAGACUUCAGAUGACAUCAUUUCCUGUUUACUACGUAGAGAUCUUCCUCUCCAUCGGUACCAUCUAUUAAAGCAAACAAACAAUAAACAUUUUCAUUUGAACUAAAAUCUAUCAGAUUAACUGAAUUCUAUGUGUCGUAGCGUCCAGAAGAGGGCGCUGCUGAUGGUCCUUCAGUAAAAGCAAACCAUCAGUCAUAGCAGACAUAGCAUAUAUCUCGCAUUUUCCUCCGUAUCUGUAGAGGUUUUAUCGCUGUAACAUUUUCAGCGGACAUUGCUAACAUCCAAACAAAUCAGACCAUAUAUGUCCAGAAUCUAUAUAAUCAUAUUAGUUCCUCUAAUCUCAGCAUAUAUCACUGCAAACUCAGUUCAGUUUGAUUAGAUUUUAAUCUGAACAAACCUGUAAUCUAACUGAAAAGUGAUUAUAAAAUGUUGUGAAAUGGCCGGUUUAUUAUAUUAUCUCUGACUCGUCUUCCAUGUCAUUAUAAUGAGAUCUAAGGCCACCUCGGUUCAGGUCUGAUCCAAGAUGGCCGCCCUGUAGCGUCUAAAGUCUGUGAUUGCUGACUGAUGGCUGGCCCUGAAAAUGGAGCUAAAAGCAGUUAGCAUCCACUGAUGGACAGGAAGUGGCUGUUACAUCUGUCAGAGCGUCAUACCCCGCCUGUGAUGAUGAUGAUGAUGGCUAAUGCUAAUGUGUCUCUGCAGGACGCCUGGUCCUCUCUCUGGACAGAGGAUGAUGGCUAAUGCUAAUGUGUCUCUGCAGGACGCCUGGUCCUCUCUCUGGACAGAGGAUGAUGGCUAAUGCUAAUGUGUCUCUGCAGGACGCCUGGUCCUCUCUCUGGACAGAGGAUGAUG